RNAcentral lists this ribosomal RNA (254 nucleotides) under uncultured bacterium. RNAcentral's name for it is "partial 16S ribosomal RNA". It matches the Rfam family "Bacterial small subunit ribosomal RNA", at positions 524 to 776 of the family's 1533-position model. The record is from RNAcentral.
UACAGAGGGUGCGAGCGUUGUCCGGAAUCACUGGGCGUAAAGGGCGCGUAGGCGGCCUGAUAAGUAGGGGGUGAAAUCUUGCGGCUCAACCGCAAGGCUGCCUUCUAAACUGUCAGGCUGGAGCACGGUAGAGGCAGAUGGAAUUCCCGGUGUAGCGGUGGAAUGCGUAGAGAUCGGGAAGAACACCCGUGGCGAAGGCGGCUCUCUGGGACGGUACUGACGCUGAGACGCGGAAAGCGUGGGGAGCGAACAGG